GACGAGCGCUGGCGGCGCGCUUAACACAUGCAAGUCGAACGGAAAGGCCCUGCUUUUGUGGGGUGCUCGAGUGGCGAACGGGUGAGUAACACGUGAGUAACCUGCCCUUGACUUUGGGAUAACUUCAGGAAACUGGGGCUAAUACCGGAUAGGAGCUCCUGCUGCAUGGUGGGGGUUGGAAAGUUUCGGCGGUUGGGGAUGGACUCGCGGCUUAUCAGCUUGUUGGUGGGGUAGUGGCUUACCAAGGCUUUGACGGGUAGCCGGCCUGAGAGGGUGACCGGCCACAUUGGGACUGAGAUACGGCCCAGACUCCUACGGGAGGCAGCAGUGGGGAAUAUUGCACAAUGGGCGGAAGCCUGAUGCAGCAACGCCGCGUGCGGGAUGACGGCCUUCGGGUUGUAAACCGCUUUCGCCUGUGACGAAGCGUGAGUGACGGUAAUGGGUAAAGAAGCACCGGCUAACUACGUG
Molecule: ribosomal RNA, 468 nt
Filed under: uncultured bacterium
Lineage: Bacteria
Description: partial 16S ribosomal RNA
Rfam family: Bacterial small subunit ribosomal RNA
Source: RNAcentral